RNAcentral lists this ribosomal RNA (447 nucleotides) under uncultured bacterium. RNAcentral describes it as "partial 16S ribosomal RNA". It matches the Rfam family "Bacterial small subunit ribosomal RNA", at positions 29 to 523 of the family's 1533-position model. The record is from RNAcentral.
AGCGAACGCUGGCGGCAGGCCUAACACAUGCAAGUCGAACGAACUCUUCGGAGUUAGUGGCGGACGGGUGAGUAACACGUGGGAACGUGCCUUUAGGUUCGGAAUAACUCAGGGAAACUUGUGCUAAUACCGAAUGUGCCCUUCGGGGGAAAGAUUUAUCGCCUUUAGAGCGGCCCGCGUCUGAUUAGCUAGUUGGUGAGGUAAAGGCUCACCAAGGCAACGAUCAGUAGCUGGUCUGAGAGGAUGAUCAGCCACAUUGGGACUGAGACACGGCCCAAACUCCUACGGGAGGCAGCAGUGGGGAAUCUUGCGCAAUGGGCGAAAGCCUGACGCAGCCAUGCCGCGUGAAUGAUGAAGGUCUUGGGAUUAAAAUUCUUUCACCGGGGACGAUAAUGACGGUACCCGGAGAAGAAGCCCCGGCUAACUUCGUGCCAGCCGCCGCCGUAA